AUGAGUCCCACACCCACCCCUCCCCGAAAGGCUGGGCAAGGCAUCCCUGUGUCAUUCUAAAGCUGCUGCCUCAGGCCAGAUCACUUGAAUGGACAUAUCAAGCAGGUGCACACGUCUGAGCGCCCUCACAAAUGUCAGGUGUGGGUUGGGAGCAGCAGCGGCCUGCCGCCCCUGGAACCUCUUCCUAGCGACCUGCCAUCAUGGGACUUUGCCCAGCCUGCUUUGUGGAGGUCGUCCCAUUCAGUUCCUGAUACCGCCUUUUCCCUCUCUCUAAAAAAGUCCUUCCCAGCCCUUGAAAACCUGAGUCCAGCACACUCCAGCAAUACGCUCUUCUGCUCAGCUCCACCAGGAUACCUGAGACAGGGUUGGACAACCCCUGAGGGCAGCCGGGCUUUUACUCAGUGGCCUGUGGGCUAGCCUGGGUCCUUCUGGAGAGGUGGAGGCGAAUGGUGGCUGACUGGAGAGCCCUGCUUUGGCAGAGGCUAGCUAGCGAGACUGUUCCUGCCCACCACUCCCAGAUCCUCCCAAGAUGUCCGAACAUUUUUUUCCAGCUCAAAGCUCUCACAUAGCAAUAGGAAGGCCCACCUUUCUGAAGGUCCCCCUCCCCUGGUGGGCUCCAUGUUCCUUUCUGAAUGCUUGUCUCCCCUACCUCAACGGGGCAGCCAACCUUGUCUGGGGAUUUAGAAGUUGGGAGUUGUAGGGCAUUAAGCCCCAGCUUCUGUGACCCUUCCUCUGGCCUCACUUUUUCACACUCACUGGGACUCCUGGUCAUCCUCCUCCUAUGGGGGUGUCACCCCAUUUCCAGAGAAGCCUCCAGCACAGCGUCAGCUGGGUUUGGCUGUGCUGCUGAACUCUCCACCUCACAAGGGCCUGCUUUCAGUUCUGGCUCCUGAGUUCUCGUGUCUGAGGGGUUUUAGCUGGUCUGCUCUACACUAACCAGUAGUAGCCUUUGUACUGUGAUAGAUGGCUUUAGGGGCUGACAGAGCAGGUAGACCCUCCCUUCCCCAGGGCCCCUUGGUGUGUCCCUUAGCCCCUGGAGAUCAGGAUCGAUGAUAAAAGUUUUCAUUCUAACAUU
RNAcentral lists this long non-coding RNA (1075 nucleotides) under Rattus norvegicus (Norway rat). RNAcentral describes it as "long non-coding RNA NONRATT009511". The record is from RNAcentral. Lineage: Eukaryota; Metazoa; Chordata; Mammalia; Rodentia; Muridae.